This 468-nucleotide long non-coding RNA is filed under the name Capsella grandiflora. RNAcentral describes it as "long non-coding RNA (CGRA_LNC001654)". Lineage: Eukaryota; Viridiplantae; Streptophyta; Magnoliopsida; Brassicales; Brassicaceae. The record is from RNAcentral.
AAUUAUCUAAAUUAGUAUAUAUCAAUAAAUAUUAAUAACUACCUAAGAUUUCAAUCGUAUGUGCGUAUAUUACGAAAUCACAACAAGAAAUCUCCAAUACCGAACAAAAUUCUCAAUCAUAUCUUAACUCUCCUAAUUUAUUCCUUUACGAGUAGUAUAUUUGUUAAGUAAAUAUUAACCAUUUAAUAUCGAUCCUUUUAGAUGCUAAAGAUGGAACGAAUAUGCCGUAAUACCAAACCCUAAUUGUGCGUAUCUAAGUUCUACUAUAUAAACAAUGCUAACCUAACCUUAUACUCUGUCCACUUUCCCUACUUUACAAACUUAAUCGAAAUGGCUUCGAACACCGUAAUCACUGAUUUGCUUAGCAUCAAACCUUACAAAACUGGGUGGCGUAUUCAAGUGAAGAUUGUCCACUCUUGGAAGCAAAAUAGAGACUACUCUGGCGAUACCCUCGAAAUGGUGUUAGCA